UCGGGAAUUUUGGGCAAUGGGCGAAAGCCUGACCCAGCAACGCCGCGUGUGUGAAGAAGGCCUGAGGGUUGUAAAGCACUUUCAGAGGGGAGGAGGACUAUUAGGUUAAGAGCUAGAUAGUUGGACGUUACCCUCAGAAGCAGCACCGGCUAACUCCGUGCCAGCAGCCGCGGUAAUACGGGGGGUGCAAGCGUUGUUCGGAAUUACUGGGCGUAAAGCGUACGUAGGCGGUUAUUCAAGUCAGAGGUGAAAGCCUGGAGCUCAACUCCAGAACUGCCUUUGAAACUAGAUAGCUAGAAUCACGGAGAGGUGAGUGGAAUUCCGAGUGUAGAGGUGAAAUUCGUAGAUAUUCGGAAGAACACCAGUGGCGAAGGCGGCUCACUGGACGUGUAUUGACGCUGAGGUACGAAAGCGUGGGGAGCAAACAGGAUUAGAUACCCCGGUAGUCCCUGAGCGGGCUGGCAAGGCGCAU
RNAcentral lists this ribosomal RNA (472 nucleotides) under uncultured bacterium. Its description in RNAcentral is "bacterial SSU rRNA". It matches the Rfam family "Bacterial small subunit ribosomal RNA", at positions 355 to 825 of the family's 1533-position model. The record is from RNAcentral.